AGGACGAACGCUGGCGGCGUGCCUAAUACAUGCAAGUCGAGCGGACAGAAGGGAGCUUGCUCCCGGAUGUUAGCGGCGGACGGGUGAGUAACACGUGGGUAACCUGCCUGUAAGACUGGGAUAACUCCGGGAAACCGGAGCUAAUACCGGAUAGUUCCUUGAACCGCAUGGUUCAAGGAUGAAAGACGGUUUCGGCUGUCACUUACAGAUGGACCCGCGGCGCAUUAGCUAGUUGGUGAGGUAACGGCUCACCAAGGCGACGAUGCGUAGCCGACCUGAGAGGGUGAUCGGCCACACUGGGACUGAGACACGGCCCAGACUCCUACGGGAGGCAGCAGUAGGGAAUCUUCCGCAAUGGACGAAAGUCUGACGGAGCAACGCCGCGUGAGUGAUGAAGGUUUUCGGAUCGUAAAGCUCUGUUGUUAGGGAAGAACAAGUGCAAGAGUAACUGCUUGCACCUUGACGGUACCUAACCAGAAAGCCACGGCUAACUACGUGCCAGCAGCCGCGGUAAUACGUAGGUGGCAAGCGUUGUCCGGAAUUAUUGGGCGUAAAGGGCUCGCAGGCGGUUUCUUAAGUCUGAUGUGAAAGCCCCCGGCUCAACCGGGGAGGGUCAUUGGAAACUGGGAAACUUGAGUGCAGAAGAGGAGAGUGGAAUUCCACGUGUAGCGGUGAAAUGCGUAGAGAUGUGGAGGAACACCAGUGGCGAAGGCGACUCUCUGGUCUGUAACUGACGCUGAGGAGCGAAAGCGUGGGGAGCGAACAGGAUUAGAUACCCUGGUAGUCCACGCCGUAAACGAUGAGUGCUAAGUGUUAGGGGGUUUCCCGCCCCUUAGUGCUGCAGCUAACGCAUUAAGCACUCCGCCUGGGGAGUACGGUCGCAAGACUGAAACUCAAAGGAAUUGACGGGGGCCCGCACAACCGGUGGAGCAUGUGGUUUAAUUCAAGCACGCAAAAACCUUACCGGUCUGACUCCUCUGACACCCUAGAAUAGGGUUUCCUU
RNAcentral lists this ribosomal RNA (1003 nucleotides) under Bacillus sp. (in: firmicutes). RNAcentral describes it as "bacterial SSU rRNA". It matches the Rfam family "Bacterial small subunit ribosomal RNA", at positions 26 to 1018 of the family's 1533-position model. The record is from RNAcentral. Lineage: Bacteria; Bacillati; Bacillota; Bacilli; Caryophanales; Bacillaceae.